AAAAAGGGAAAAUGCGGCGGGUGCAGGUUUUCGAUGCUUUGUACUUUGUUUCCUUGUGGUGAUGUAACGUUGUAUGCAGGUCGUGUUAUGGCUUGCCGUACGGCUCGGGAGAGGCUUCUUCUUACCACCACCACCACCACCAUCAGUGCGUUAGAAGGCUUCUAUCGGUGGUCUAACGAAUUAUUUUUCACUUUGCGGUUUGUGGGGAGGGGUUUUCAUUGACUCUUGGAGAUUGACUGAGAAGUACGAGCCACGGAAUUCGUGACAGGCGCAAUGGUGUUGGAGGUGGUGUUGGAGGUGGUGAUGGUGGUGGUGUUGGAGGUGGUGAUGGUGGUGCUACACUGUCUUACGGAGUGUGAAUACACACGAAGUCGUAUUCGCGCUAUGUUGCCCCCCGGUGGUGCGACCACCCGGCGGUUCCGGGUAGGUGGUACCCUGCAGCUUACAUCCGAUGCCAUUUCGGGAAAUGGAAGGCGCGCUUGGGGGGAGGUUUUGACUCCGGUACUCGUCCGGUGAGGUGAGGUCAGGUGAGGCAUUGCAGUUGUCGGUCCUGUUCCUCCUCAAGAUGCUUAACUCCUUCCAUUGAAGACGACACUCUAAUUCUGUUUUUUAACGACAUUUCAAUGUAAGAUUUCAGUGGCUGUAAAUGUACCCCCUUGUAGUUAGCUGCAGCCUUCUCGCAGCUGCAGCUCUGCCAUUUUAUGUGAGGGUAUAGUUGUAGCAGCUGCAGCUUUUGGUGAAUUCUGGUAAAUCUGUCAUGGCGAUGCGAGUGGUGAAAAUUGAAGAUUGGGUUAUUGGUUGGGUGGGGUUGCAGCUCACCCCCAAGGUGAGGAGGGGAGCGAGCGGGGCUGUUGGAAUUUGGAAGGGGGGGUAAUGGCAGAGGUGGGAAUGGCUUUUUAGGGCGCGAAGACCCUAUCGGGGGUGGUGGGUGACUGAUUGACGGCAGGCAGAAAGAAAUGAGGACGAAAAGGCUUUCAAUGUACGACGACGGAGCGGGCCUGGUGGUUUUUGUUUUCUUGAUUUUAUUGUAAGGCUGGGGGAUGCGGCGGUUGAGGGGGGGGCCCCGGCAGGUGUUAUUCUUAGGGUUUUUACUUUUGGGUUGCGUUCUGGCGGAAGAGGAGGGGCGAGUGUAUGAAUGCCUCUUUUGAGACAUGCUGUAAACCUGCUGUAAACUUACUGGCUGGGUGCGUGUGUGUGUGUGUGUGUGUGUGUGUGUCUCUCAGGUUUUCUCACUCGUGCCCUAUCUGCAUCAUCGGAACAUAUCUCGGCCAUGUAGCAGUAGCAGCAGGCCCGGCGAGCCCCCAACCCCUGCAAUGUAAAGGUGGAACGUGUAAUCCUUAAUAAAAACGUUUGCAAGGCUCACUUACUUAAAAAAAGAAUGGGUUCGGGAUGGUUUACACUCCCCUGGACAAGCCACACCCGUGUGAGAGGGCUGCAUGUACUCCCAAUCGCUGUGGCGAUCGCGGGCUUGACGAAACGCGGCUGAGGGUUCCUGAUGGGACUUGUGCAUCAGAUUGCGCUUGCAAGUUCGCAAUCCCGAGAAAUGUUGAAAUUGGACUACAUACUGUCUCUCGAACGUGUUCAUGAUUAACUUAAUUUUAGGUAUGGAUAUAGUCAUAGAGCUGGAGAUUCUGGUGGCGAGAAGCGGUGGUUGCAUGGGACAUAGCGCGCAGGGCUAGUCGUGCGCGUCGGUGUGGAGCUGGUUGCCUUCAGGCUCUGAUCCGGCGCUCUGACCAAACGCGUUUUGCUUUUACCUCGAGUUUCUGGCUUAUGUACAAGAAGUUUGAGGCUUUCCACCCAGGAACUCCGGAUACGUGAAAGUGCUUUCACAUACGGAGAUAGUAAAUCCGCAGUUGGCCUUGAGAGGUCGUGACACCCUUAUGCAAAUACUGUCUUGUUGAGGCAGGAACGUGCAAGGCCAUCCAUAGGAACCAUGGGCCUCUCGCAGGCUCUACCAACUAACGAACGGAAAACGAACUGCCAACGUGAGGGCUGAGGCUUGAGGCUGAGUAGUACAGACGUGCCA
Molecule: long non-coding RNA, 2026 nt
Filed under: Volvox carteri
Lineage: Eukaryota; Viridiplantae; Chlorophyta; Chlorophyceae; Chlamydomonadales; Volvocaceae
Description: long non-coding RNA (VCAR_LNC003210)
Source: RNAcentral